UACGAAGGGGGCAAGCGUUGUUCGGAUUUACUGGGCGUAAAGGGCGCGUAGGCGGCGCAACAAGUCACUUGUGAAAUCUCCGGGCUUAACUCGGAAAGGUCAAGUGAUACUGUUGUGCUAGAGUGCGGAAGGGGCAACUGGAAUUCUCGGUGUAGCGGUGAAAUGCGUAGAUAUCGAGAGGAACACCUGCGGCGAAGGCGGGUUGCUGGGCCGACACUGACGCUGAUGCGCGAAAGCCAGGGGAGCGAACGGG
This 253-nucleotide ribosomal RNA is filed under the name uncultured bacterium. RNAcentral's name for it is "partial 16S ribosomal RNA". It matches the Rfam family "Bacterial small subunit ribosomal RNA", at positions 524 to 776 of the family's 1533-position model. The record is from RNAcentral.